This 212-nucleotide unclassified non-coding RNA is filed under the name Hevea brasiliensis (rubber tree). The record is from RNAcentral. Lineage: Eukaryota; Viridiplantae; Streptophyta; Magnoliopsida; Malpighiales; Euphorbiaceae.
UCCACAGUCUCCACAUUAAAUCCGAUAGUAGGGAUGGUAGUGACGAUCUCUCCCAGCUUCAGCUUAUACAAGAUUGUAGUCUUACCAGCUGCAUCGAGACCCACCAUAAGAAUCCGCAUCUCCUUCUUGGCAAAAAGUCGGCUGAACAGCUUGGUGAAAGAUAGCCCCAUCUUCACUCUGGCGAUCAGAUCUAGGGUUCCAAGAGAUUGAAG